Molecule: ribosomal RNA, 531 nt
Filed under: uncultured bacterium
Lineage: Bacteria
Description: bacterial SSU rRNA
Rfam family: Bacterial small subunit ribosomal RNA
Source: RNAcentral
AAUAGAUACCCUGGUAGUCCACGCCGUAAACGAUGUCGACUUGGAGGUUGUUCCCUUGAGGAGUGGCUUCCGGAGCUAACGCGUUAAGUCGACCGCCUGGGGAGUACGGCCGCAAGGUUAAAACUCAAAUGAAUUGACGGGGGCCCGCACAAGCGGUGGAGCAUGUGGUUUAAUUCGAUGCAACGCGAAGAACCUUACCUACUCUUGACAUCCAGAGAACUUAGCAGAGAUGCUUUGGUGCCUUCGGGAACUCUGAGACAGGUGCUGCAUGGCUGUCGUCAGCUCGUGUUGUGAAAUGUUGGGUUAAGUCCCGCAACGAGCGCAACCCUUAUCCUUUGUUGCCAGCGGUUCGGCCGGGAACUCAAAGGAGACUGCCAGUGAUAAACUGGAGGAAGGUGGGGAUGACGUCAAGUCAUCAUAGCCCUUACGAGUAGGGCUACACACGUGCUACAAUGGCGUAUACAAAGAGAAGCGACCUCGCGAGAGCAAGCGGACCUCAUAAAGUACGUCGUAGUCCGGAUUGGAGUCUGC